This is a long non-coding RNA of Engraulis encrasicolus (European anchovy), 323 nucleotides long. RefSeq lists it as uncharacterized. The record is from RefSeq and is a predicted model, not a curated record. Lineage: Eukaryota; Metazoa; Chordata; Actinopteri; Clupeiformes; Engraulidae. The transcript has 3 exons.
CUCCAGUUUCCCCAAGAUGGGAAAUACAUAGGUUACUACCUGAAUGCCACGAUCCAGGCUCUUUUAGCUAUUAAGCCAUUCCGGGACUAUGUCCUCAACUGAUGGGGAAAUAGCAGCUCUCCUCCCAUUCUCAGUUUCCCCAACCUGGCGAAAACCUGUUACAUGAACGCCACCAUCCAGGCUCUUCUGGCGAUAAAACCGUUCACGAAUGAUGUCCUCAGCUGCUGGGGAAAUGGUAGCUCUCCUCCCAUUCUGAGGAGCAUGGCAGAGCUCCAGAUGGUGAGGCAGACCAGCGCCCAAGGGCAUGACGCUGACCGCCAUCC